RNAcentral lists this non-coding RNA (46 nucleotides) under unclassified sequences. RNAcentral's name for it is "SAM-SAH-Weickhmann-2018 RNA". It matches the Rfam family "SAM/SAH riboswitch aptamer". The record is from RNAcentral.
CUGCCACAACGGCUUCCUGGCGUGGCGGGUUGUCCCCAAUGGAGCA